This 508-nucleotide ribosomal RNA is filed under the name uncultured bacterium. Its description in RNAcentral is "partial 16S ribosomal RNA". It matches the Rfam family "Bacterial small subunit ribosomal RNA", at positions 30 to 523 of the family's 1533-position model. The record is from RNAcentral.
AUUGAACGCUGGCGGCAUGCCUUACACAUGCAAGUCGAACGGCAGCGGGGGAGAAGCUUGCUUUUCCUGCCGGCGAGUGGCGAACGGGUGAGUAAUACAUCGGAACGUGCCCUGUAGUGGGGGAUAACUAGUCGAAAGAUUAGCUAAUACCGCAUACGACCUGAGGGUGAAAGUGGGGGACCGCAAGGCCUCAUGCUAUAGGAUCGGCCGAUGUCUGAUUAGCUAGUUGGUGGGGUAAAGGCCUACCAAGGCGACGAUCAGUAGCUGGUCUGGGAGGACGAUCAGCCACACUGGGACUGAGACACGGCCCAGACUCCUACGGGAGGCAGCAGUGGGGAAUUUUGGACAAUGGGCGAAAGCCUGAUCCAGCAAUGCCGCGUGUGUGAAGAAGGCCUUCGGGUUGUAAAGCACUUUUGUCCGGAGAGAAAUGGCUCUGGUUAAUACCUGGGGUCGAUGACGGUACCGGAAGAAUAAGGACCGGCUAACUACGUGCCAGCCGCCGCGGUAA